CCGGUCGAGGGGCGCUGCAACGGACCGAGGUCCGCCACGCUCGAUCGGAACCUCAUCCGCAAGGGCGCCUCCCACAA
RNAcentral lists this non-coding RNA (77 nucleotides) under Frankia sp. Its description in RNAcentral is "SAH sequence". It matches the Rfam family "SAH (S-adenosyl-L-homocysteine) riboswitch aptamer". The record is from RNAcentral. RNAcentral also lists the same sequence under 4 other names. Lineage: Bacteria; Bacillati; Actinomycetota; Actinomycetes; Frankiales; Frankiaceae.